UACGGAGGGUGCGAGCGUUAUCCGGAUUCACUGGGCUUAAAGGGUGCGUAGGUGGGAAUGUAAGUCAGUGGUGAAAUCUCUGAGCUUAACUCAGAAACUGCCAUUGAUACUAUGUUUCUUGAAUUUUCUGGAGGUCAGCGGAAUAUGUCAUGUAGCGGUGAAAUGCUUAGAUAUGACAUAGAACACCACUUGCGAAGGCAGCUGGCUACAGGGAUAUUGACACUGAGGCACGAAAGCGUGGGGAUCAAACAGG
RNAcentral lists this ribosomal RNA (253 nucleotides) under uncultured bacterium. RNAcentral describes it as "partial 16S ribosomal RNA". It matches the Rfam family "Bacterial small subunit ribosomal RNA", at positions 524 to 776 of the family's 1533-position model. The record is from RNAcentral.